CAAAUAAUAUAUAUAUAAAAAGGGGGGAGAGAGGGCCGAUCAUGAGGACGAUUUUUUUUUCAAAACAUUAAAUGCCUCAUUUAAUGAGGGCAGGCAAAUCAUAUCCCUUCUGACAAAAGAGAAUAAUUAGAGAUAAGAAUACCAUGCAACUUGCUACACCAACUUGCUACACGUCACUUUCAAUGCCACCUUUUAUGUAUUGUAUACAAUCAUUUUUCUUUACCUCACACACACAUCACCCUCAAAUCCUAAGUAAUCCUAAGUUGUCUGCACACACAAAGCCAACAUGGAUAUAGGAGUUUGAGGAAGGAGAAUUUCACACAAUUCGUAGAGUGAAACACUACCAUCCAACAACACUUAACUUCCACAUCAAAAGGUUACCUCCGUAAGUAAAGUCGGAACAAAAGAUUCAAAUUAAGGAGUUUUAAGCGAACGAGGUUAAGCAGCGAAGUGGUGGAGGAAGUGCUAUUGAGACAAGACACUUAAUUCAGUCAGAUU
Salvia splendens (bonfire salvia) is the source of this 498-nucleotide long non-coding RNA. RefSeq lists it as uncharacterized. The record is from RefSeq and is a predicted model, not a curated record. NCBI's taxonomy places the organism in Eukaryota, Viridiplantae, Streptophyta, Magnoliopsida, Lamiales, Lamiaceae. The transcript has 3 exons.